GCCAACAUAGUGUAGUGGUUUUGAACAUUGGACUACAACUCUGGAGAACAGGGUUCAAAUCCCCGCUCAAGCA
Phrynosoma platyrhinos (Desert horned lizard) is the source of this 73-nucleotide non-coding RNA. Lineage: Eukaryota; Metazoa; Chordata; Lepidosauria; Squamata; Phrynosomatidae. The record is from the annotation of a GenBank genome assembly.